GUUUCCGUAGGUGAACCUGCGGAAGGAUCAUUAAUGAUUAACUGUCUGUCGAGCUUGCUCACAGACUUAUCAUAUCCAUAACACCUGUGCACUUGUCGGAUGGCUUAGUGAAGACCGCAAGGUUGGAUCUAUCCAUCUACUUUACAUAACAAUUUAGUAACAAAUGUAGUCUUAUUAUAACAUAAUAAAACUUUCAACAACGGAUCUCUUGGCUCUCGCAUCGAUGAAGAACGCAGCGAAAUGCGAUAAGUAAUGUGAAUUGCAGAAUUCAGUGAAUCAUCGAAUCUUUGAACGCACCUUGCGCUCCCUGGUAUUCCGGGGAGCAUGCCUGUUUGAGUGUCAUGAAAACCCUCAACCUUAGAUUGGUUAACACCUUUCUUUGGCUUGGAUUUGGACGUUUGCCGAUGAUAAGUCGGCUCGUCUUAAAAGUAAUAGCUGGAUCUGUCUCGCGACAUGGUUUGACUUGGCGUAAUAAGUAUUUCGCUAAGGACAUCUUCGGAUGGCCGCGUUGCAAGACUAAAGACCGCUUUCUAAUCCAUUGAUCUUCGGAUUAAUAUUCUUGACAUCUGGCCUCAAAUCAGGUAGGACUACCCGCUGAACUUAAG
Molecule: ribosomal RNA, 605 nt
Filed under: Naganishia diffluens
Lineage: Eukaryota; Fungi; Basidiomycota; Tremellomycetes; Filobasidiales; Filobasidiaceae
Description: eukaryotic LSU rRNA
Rfam family: 5.8S ribosomal RNA (bases 189-342)
Source: RNAcentral